UACGUAGGGUGCAAGCGUUGUCCGGAAUUAUUGGGCGUAAAGAGCUCGUAGGCGGUCUGUUGCGUCCGCUGUGAAAACUCGGGGCUUAACCCCGAGCCUGCAGUGGAUACGGGCAGACUAGAGGUAGGUAGGGGAGAAUGGAAUUCCCGGUGUAGCGGUGGAAUGCGCAGAUAUCAGGAGGAACACCGGUGGCGAAGGCGGGUCUCUGGCUGUAACUGACGCUGAGGAGCGAAGCGUGGUAGCGAACAGG
RNAcentral lists this ribosomal RNA (250 nucleotides) under uncultured bacterium. RNAcentral describes it as "partial 16S ribosomal RNA". It matches the Rfam family "Bacterial small subunit ribosomal RNA", at positions 524 to 776 of the family's 1533-position model. The record is from RNAcentral.